GUGCCUUCGGGAACUGUGAGACAGGUGCUGCAUGGCUGUCGUCAGCUCGUGUUGUGAAAUGUUGGGUUAAGUCCCGCAACGAGCGCAACCCUUAUCCUUUGUUGCCAGCGGUUAGGCCGGGAACUCAAAGGAGACUGCCAGUGAUAAACUGGAGGAAGGUGGGGAUGACGUCAAGUCAUCAUGGCCCUUACGACCAGGGCUACACACGUGCUACAAUGGCGCAUACAAAGAGAAGCGACCUCGCGAGAGCAAGCGGACCUCAUAAAGUGCGUCGUAGUCCGGAUUGGAGUCUGCAACUCGACUCCAUGAAGUCGGAAUCGCUAGUAAUCGUGGAUCAGAAUGCCACGGUGAAUACGUUCCCGGGCCUUGUACACACCGCCCGUCACACCAUGGGAGUGGGUUGCAAAAGAAGUAGGUAGCUUAACCUUCGGGAGGGCGCUUACCACUUUGUGAUUCAUGACUGGGGUGAAGUCGUAACAAGGUAACCGUAGGGGAACCUGCGGUUGGAUCACCUCCUUACCUUAAAGAA
RNAcentral lists this ribosomal RNA (529 nucleotides) under Salmonella enterica. RNAcentral's name for it is "partial 16S ribosomal RNA". It matches the Rfam family "Bacterial small subunit ribosomal RNA", at positions 1014 to 1533 of the family's 1533-position model. RNAcentral also lists the same sequence under 2 other names. Lineage: Bacteria; Pseudomonadati; Pseudomonadota; Gammaproteobacteria; Enterobacterales; Enterobacteriaceae. The record is from RNAcentral.